ACCUUCAAGGACUAAUCUGUGGGUUUUUAAUUCUCUCUUAAAUUUCAGGGGCUCCAGUGGAAUUACUUGUCAGCUCCGGGAAGGGAAGGAGAGGAGGGAGAGAACAUGAAUCAUGUAACCAUGGAAAAAUAUUUUAAAGUAAAUACAUUUUAAAAUAAAUAAGUUUCAGGGACUACCUAGCAUAUAUGCCUUUGCACCCACCUAGUUGGUGCUCAGCAAAUCUUUUGUCCAAUUGAUUAUGGAUCCUACAAAAUCUCUGGGAAGGGUUAGUCAGAACACAGAUGAAACAGGCAUUAAAUAAUAAGCAAGUUAUUGUAUUAACAUAAGAGUUUUGAUUAUAGUUUCCUAAGUAAAGGCUUCUCUUGAAGGAUAGAAGAAUCAAUCUGUAUUCAAGUUCAGGUCUUCUAGUUUCAAAUUCAGUAUUCUUUUUUUUGUAUACUUCACUGCCUCUGAUUAUAUUUACAACUCCUUUUCACGUAAUAUCUAUGCUUCUAUUUCCCUUUUAAUUGCAUACUACCAUAUUGCUUUCAAGGGCAGCUAGGUGGCACCAUGGAUAGAGUACUAGGCCUGGAAUCAGGAAGAUCUGAGUUCAAAUCCAGCCUCAGAUACUUCAUAGGUGUGUGUCUCUGGGCAAGUCACUUAAUCCUGUUUGUGUUAGUUUCCUCAUCUGUAAAAAGUCUGAAGAAGGAAAGGGGGAACCAUUCCAGUAUCUUUGCCAAGAAAACCCCAAAUGGGUUCAUGAAGUGUUGGAUGGGAUUAGACAACAUUGCUUUCUAUUAUCAUGUAAAUAUUUCUUGAAUAUGUGUGAUCAUACCAAAGAGAUAAGCUUUCAGGGAACAGGAAUAUUGUGUGAUGUUCCUUUUCUAUCAAUACAUCCUGUUCUCCACAAUCCUAGACAUAGGUCCAUGCAGUUAGUCUAUAAGCAUUUAUUAAGCUAAUUAUAUUAUACUUUAUUAAACUUAUAUAUCAUAUUAUUAAGCUUAUAUUAUACAUUAUGUUUAUUAAGCUUAAUAAAUAAGAAAUAACAAAAGUUAACUUUGGAAAAACAUGGAAAGACCUUUAUGAAAUUAUAAACAAUGAAACAAGCAGAAUCAAGGGAGUGUAAUAUAUAGCAUGUUGCUUGAAGAAUGAUUUGUGUAUUUCCACCUCCAGAGAAAAAACUAAUGAAUUAGAAAUAAGUAAGACAUAGUUUUAUAUAUGUGUUCUAAGAGCUGGGGAUACAAAGAAAGAUUUUUUAAAAAGCCCUGUUUUUGAGGUGCUCACAAUCUAAUUGACACAACAAAAACAAUUAUGUACAAUAAAGUAUAUCCCAGACAAAUUGGAGAUAAUCAUCAGGGGAACAGCACUAACAUUCAAAAGGAUCAGGAAGGACUUCCUGCACAAAGUAGGGUUUUAGCUGGGAUUCAAAGGAAGACAGGGGAGGUAGGUAUCUUUACGGACACUUCUGAGAUAAAUAUUUGUCUUGUAAGUCAGUAAAGGUUUUCCCUCAAGUUUUCCCUAUAUUACAACUUCCCCUUUCUCUGAUUUCAACCUCUUCUACAGAGCACCUCUUUGGUUUGGUUCUUCCUUAAUUUUUCUGUCCCAGCUUCUUGCUUAAGAGCCAAUGUUAUUCAAUGAUUCAAUAUUUAUUAAGUACCUUAUUUAUGCAAAAGAGAGCUAGUUGGUCUUGGAUAGAGCCCCAGCUCUGGAGUCAGGAAGACUUGAAUCUUCAAGUCCAGCAAACGCUGGAACCUGCUUGUCUUAGCUUCCUCAUCUGGAAAUGUCAAGCCACUUCAGUUUCUUUGCUAUGAAAACUCCAAAUGGGGUCACAAUUGAAAAAAAUGAAUAACAAAAAUAUAUGGAAGGCAUAUGUGUCCAACAUUGUAGAUACAAUGAAUGAGUGAAAAAACAUUUAUUAGGUGUUUACUAUGUGCCUUGCAAGCCCUGUGGUAAAACCUAAGCAUAAAAAUAAAUUUAUUAUUAUUAUUAUAGAAUAAAUAAGGAAAAUUAAAAAUAAAAAUAUUUCUUGCGCUCAAGGAGCUCAUAUUCUAGUGGAGAAAUAUAACAUAUUAAGAAGUUGAAGACCAGAUAGGUACACUUUGAUUCAGAAAGUUACUUAGAUGGUGAGUAAGGGAAAGAAAUUUGACACAUAAGGAUUUGGCAUACAUAACACAAGAAAAUGGGAGAAAUAGACUGACACAGCCCAUGUAGGAAAAAUGGCAGAAUUGAUUUGACCACAUGAUUCAAGAUUCUAGAACUGGAAAGGAGAGGGAAGAGUAAUGAGGCUAUGGAGGAACUGGCAGGAGAGGAGGGAGUGAAGUAAAUUAUAGCUAGAGCUUUCCUGAAAUAGUCACUGAUCAGAAAAGGAAGGAGAACCACUGGGGAGAAUGUCUUCUGGGCCAGGUGUUCUUAACCUUUUUGGUGUCAUGGACCCCUUUGUCAGUCUUGUGAAACCUAUAGACCCUGAAUUAUAAUAUUUUGUUGCCUGUAUUAAUAAUUUGAGAAAAUGUUAUAUUUCAUCUAGAAGUUAAUGAAAAUAAAGAUCCCCCCCCCCCCAGUUAAUAUGUAAAUCCUGUUAAAUCUAUGUACAUACAUCCUAGGCUAAGAACUUCUUGCCUCUUUGGUGAACCUUUUCCAAGUUCUAGUGCCCAGAGGGCAAAUUCAAACUGUCUGUGAGCCUCUUGAUUACCAGAGAGUUGAGGGAGAAAGUGCUUGCUUUGGGCUGCUGUACAGAGAGGUGGGGCAUGCCAAAAAUGUCCUCAGGCAUUGGGAAGAGGAGGACCAGAGCAGCUCCCCAAGUGCCAGCUCUGCAUGUGUGCCAGAUCUUCUCCAGCACUGGUCUAGGGCAUCUUGGUGUGGGCAAGAAAUGAUGAUCCAGUUGGUUAUGGAAGAGAUGACUUUCCAGAGAUUCAAGGUCACAAAAACAAAACAAAACAAUUUCUACUUUUUAAAAAAAACCUUUACUUUAUGUCUUAGAAUCAACUUUAAGCAUCAUUUCCAAGAUAGAUGAGUGGUAAGAGCUAGGCAAUUGAAGUUAAGUGACUUGCCCAGGGUCACACAGCUAGAAAGUAUCUGAGGCCAGAUUUGAAACCAGGACCCAUUUCCAGGCCUGGCAUCCUAUCCAUUGAGUUACACAGUUACCCCUAACAAUUCCUAUAUUUAAGGAGAAGCUUAUAUUCUAGCAAAAGGGUAUAACAAAUAUAUAGAUAAAGAAAUAUAAAUUAAGAGCAAUGUUAUAUUAGGUAAGGAGAGAGGAGAUAUCAUUUAUACUUUACUGUAAAUAAGCUUAAGCAAAAUACCAUCUUUUCAGCUGUGCUGGCAUUUUAAGACUUUUUUCUAGUUAUGAAAUCAAAAGCUUUGUUCCAUGUUAAAACAAUAUGGGACAUGUUGAUUGAUUGACUGAUUGAUAAGGAAAUGUAAGCCUGAUCCUUUCCCUGUUGUCCCUGAAAUCACAACUUAACAGACAAACAUAUCACCUGCCCUGCCUGAUGCAAGGCCUCUUUGGUCUUGACAUAUUGGAAUUAUGUCCCUAUUCAUCCACAGUGAAUGUCCAAACACAGCUGAUGCACAAUUCUUAUGAGGGUCUGACCUCAUAGUCAGUUUCCCACUCCAACAACUAAAUUGAAUUGAAUCAGAUGUACUCACCCAGAAGUCCUCUCUACAUGAGGUCAUUCCUUUUCUAUGAGGCCAAUUUAGGUAGAUCUGAACAAUUUCAGAUGAUCAACAACAAUGGGGCAUUUGUAGGGUGACCCGUGGAGGUGUUGUACAUUCUGCAUUUUUUUUAAAGGCCCAGAAUAAAGUACAAGCAGCAGCCAUGGUUGAUAGCCCUCAGAAAUUCCGCCCAGUGUCCUGACUGACAUCAGAAGGAUUUAUGUGGUCAGCUUCAUGGAGGCAUCUGAUUAUGAAACAAACCUUUGAAAGACUUCAAAAGCAAAAAUAUCCCUAGGGUGUUUUUGUUCUUAAGAGCCACAAGAAGAGAAAAGGACAGUACAAUACAUAGGCAGCCCACAUCUGAACAGUAGGCGAGAGGCUAAGAACAGUGCCCAUGCAGCCUGCUCCAAAACUAUAGCAUGAGAAAGAGCCAGUACUAUAGAUAUAAACUUUUAGAGAGAAUAAAUUUUCCCCUAAGUACUGCUUUGGCUACAUCCUACAAAUUUUGCUGAAUCAUAAAAGAUUCUGUUUCAACCCCUUAUUUUAACUCUGGG
Molecule: long non-coding RNA, 4184 nt
Organism: Monodelphis domestica (gray short-tailed opossum)
Lineage: Eukaryota; Metazoa; Chordata; Mammalia; Didelphimorphia; Didelphidae
Source: RefSeq, a predicted model, not a curated record